AAAAAGGGCUUCUAUUGUGAGUGGCACACAUAGGGCAGCUCCAUUGCUCUUCGUGCAGAAUUGACAUCAAGAGAUUUCAGAAGCAUAAUUUUUUGGUACCCAGGCAGCUUGUGAUCAUUGGUCCUGAAAGAAAAAAAAAAAAAAAGAGUCAGAUGCUUAACCGACUAGGCAACCAGGUGCCCCU
Small nuclear RNA from Neofelis nebulosa (Clouded leopard), 184 nucleotides. RefSeq annotates it as U11 spliceosomal RNA. Lineage: Eukaryota; Metazoa; Chordata; Mammalia; Carnivora; Felidae. The record is from RefSeq and is a predicted model, not a curated record. The transcript has a single exon.